GGUCGCGUAGCUCAGUUGGUAGAGCACUACCUUGACAUGGUAGUGGUCGGAGGUUCAAGUCCUCUCGUGGCCACCA
RNAcentral lists this transfer RNA (76 nucleotides) under Campylobacter sp. RNAcentral describes it as "tRNA-Val". It matches the Rfam family "tRNA". From Rfam's summary of the family: Transfer RNA (tRNA) molecules are approximately 80 nucleotides in length. Their secondary structure includes four short double-helical elements and three loops (D, anti-codon, and T loops). RNAcentral also lists the same sequence under 1 other name. The record is from RNAcentral. Lineage: Bacteria; Pseudomonadati; Campylobacterota; Epsilonproteobacteria; Campylobacterales; Campylobacteraceae.